This 525-nucleotide ribosomal RNA is filed under the name Boulenophrys baishanzuensis (Baishanzu horned toad). RNAcentral's name for it is "partial large subunit ribosomal RNA". It matches the Rfam family "Bacterial large subunit ribosomal RNA", at positions 1857 to 2597 of the family's 2925-position model. Lineage: Eukaryota; Metazoa; Chordata; Amphibia; Anura; Megophryidae. The record is from RNAcentral.
GCCUGCCCAGUGACCAUGAGUUCAACGGCCGCGGUAUUCUGACCGCGCGAAGGUAGCGUAAUCACUUGUUUUUUAAAUAAAGACUGGUAUGAACGGCCGCACGAGGACCUAACUGUCUCCUUUGUCCAAUCAGUGAAACUGAUCUCCUCGUGCAGAAGCGAGGAUUUUAUCAUAAGACGAGAAGACCCUAUGGAGCUUUAAACUUUUAUUAAUUAUUUUCUUCACCCCUCUAAGGAGCUAAAAACCAAUUUAAUUUUUUAAUAAAAGUUUUAGGUUGGGGCGACCAUGGAGAAAAAAAUAUCCUCCCUGAUGACACCUAACUAAGAGCCACAGCUCCAAGUAUUAAGACACUUAACUCCUAUUGACCCAUUUUAUGAUCAACGAACCAAGUUACCCUAGGGAUAACAGCGCAAUCCAUUUCAAGAGUCCCUAUCGACAAAUGGGUUUACGACCUCGAUGUUGGAUCAGGGCAUCCAAGUGGUGCAACCGCUACUAAAGGUUCGUUUGUUCAACGAUUAAAGCCCU